AGAUGCAUGAAACACCAGAGUGCUACACUGUCCCCACAAAAAUACAAAUUUGAUAUAAAGACUAUCAAAGUUGGCUCAUUUGUGGAGACAGCCCCUCUCAACCCAACCCAUGUGAACGACAGGCAACCAGUGAAAAUCACCGCCAUAUGGGCUACCAUCUCAGAUAAUCCGCUGGUCCUGUUUG
Molecule: long non-coding RNA, 184 nt
Organism: Epinephelus fuscoguttatus (brown-marbled grouper)
Lineage: Eukaryota; Metazoa; Chordata; Actinopteri; Perciformes; Serranidae
Exons: 3
Source: RefSeq, a predicted model, not a curated record